RNAcentral lists this ribosomal RNA (501 nucleotides) under uncultured bacterium. RNAcentral's name for it is "bacterial SSU rRNA". It matches the Rfam family "Bacterial small subunit ribosomal RNA", at positions 29 to 518 of the family's 1533-position model. The record is from RNAcentral.
AUGAACGCUAGCUACAGGCUUAACACAUGCAAGUCGAGGGGCAGCAUGAAUCAAGCUUGCUUGAUUUGAUGGCGACCGGCGCACGGGUGCGUAACACGUAUCCAAUCUACCCAUGGCUCAGGGAUAGCCUUUCGAAAGAAAGAUUAAUACCUGAUGGUUUCAUGAGCCCGCAUGGACUUAUGAAUAAAGAUUUAUCGGCGAUGGAUGAGGAUGCGUCCGAUUAGAUAGUAGGCGGGGUAACGGCCCACCUAGUCGACGAUCGGUAGGGGCUCUGAGAGGAGGAUCCCCCACAUUGGAACUGAGACACGGUCCAAACUCCUACGGGAGGCAGCAGUGAGGAAUAUUGGUCAAUGGGCGAGAGCCUGAACCAGCCAAGUAGCCGUGCAGGAUGACGGCCCUAUGGGUUGUAAACUGCUUUUAUAUAGGGAUAAAGUGACCCACGUGUGGGUUUUUGUAGGUACUAUAUGAAUAAGGACCGGCUAAUUCCGUGCCAGCCGCCGC